RNAcentral lists this ribosomal RNA (277 nucleotides) under uncultured bacterium. RNAcentral describes it as "partial 16S ribosomal RNA". It matches the Rfam family "Bacterial small subunit ribosomal RNA", at positions 77 to 353 of the family's 1533-position model. The record is from RNAcentral.
CAAACUGGAGAUGGCGACCGGCGCACGGGUGAGUAACACGUAUCCAACCUGCCGAUAACUCGGGGAUAGCCUUUCGAAAGAAAGAUUAAUACCCGAUGGCAUAAUAGAACCGCAUGGUUUGAUUAUUAAAGAAUUUCGGUUAUCGAUGGGGAUGCGUUCCAUUAGGCAGUUGGUGGGGGUAACGGCCCACCAAACCUUCGAUGGAUAGGGGUUCUGAGAGGAAGGUCCCCCACAUUGGAACUGAGACACGGUCCAAACUCCUACGGGAGGCAGCAUG